CACCCACUGAGUCUGUGCAAUGUGCU
This 26-nucleotide non-coding RNA is filed under the name Homo sapiens (human). Lineage: Eukaryota; Metazoa; Chordata; Mammalia; Primates; Hominidae. The record is from RNAcentral.